GCCCUGCAGGAGGCUCUGUCGGUGGUGAGCGACGACCAGUCCCUCUUUGACUCAGCGUACGGAGCGGCGGCCCAUCUCCCCAAGGCCGACAUGACUGCCUCGGGGAGUCCUGACUACGGGCAGCCCCACAAGAUCAACCCCCUCCCACCGCAGCAGGAGUGGCUCAAUCAGCCAGUGAGGGUCAAUGUCAAGCGGGAAUAUGACCACGUGAAUGGGUCCAGGGAGUCUCCGGUGGACUGCAGCGUUAGCAAAUGCAGCAAGCUGGUGGGCGGAGGCGAGUCCAACCCCAUGAACUACAACAGCUAUAUGGACGAGAAGAAUGGCCCCCCUCCUCCUAACAUGACAACCAACGAGAGGAGAGUCAUCGUCCCCGCAGGUAAUUCGAGAACCAGGCUGCCUGGGCGCCAUUCACUUCCCCACUCUCUGGGGGGGCAGGGAGCAUCUAAACCUUUAUCCGAUACUCUAUUCCCUGUGGAAUUGCAAAAUGGAGAAAGCUGCAUGCCAGCCGGGAGUGGUGGCUUAUGCCUGUAAUCCCAGCACUUUGAGAAGCUGAGACGGGUGAAUCACUUGUCAGGAGUUCAAGACCAGCCUAGCCAACAUGGUGAAACCUCAUCUCUACC
Molecule: small RNA, 620 nt
Filed under: Pongo abelii (Sumatran orangutan)
Lineage: Eukaryota; Metazoa; Chordata; Mammalia; Primates; Hominidae
Description: retained intron
Source: RNAcentral